UUGGAGACCCAGUUGAGAUCUCUUUUGAAUGGUGGUCUCGUUCUCAGGGGAAACGUACAUUUACUGCCUAAUUACCGACGCCUGAGGAAAGCCAGAGACAAGAAGGCUUUCCAAAAAUACAGAUAGCUUUUUCUGUGGCUUAUUAAUUCUUCACAUGCAUCCUGCCCCAGUGUCUCAACAGUGUCAUUGGACAUGCUGGAAAUAGAGACUUUGAGGGGAAAAAGAACAAAGCAGCUUUUACUUUGAGCCUGGAGGCUUUGCUUGACAACAAUGCAACAUAGCUCUUAUCUGAAAAUGAAAAGAGGGAGACAUAAGUAAAACUGGUUGUGCAACUAACCAUUUCAUUGUGAGCGAAGUAAAUAGUCUUAUCCUCUUUUAAAGGGAAUGAGAAACGCUGCCCAUAUCUUUUGUUGAUGUUAAAGGUGCUUCAUUGCUCUUUUAGUUGGAUAGAGGCUGAUGUGGAUAGGUUGUGUAUCAUUCCAUCAUCUUCAAAAUCCAAGAACAAAACUGUGCAAAGCAAUUAUGACCCAAAUUGCAUUGGUGGUUUGUGCUGAAGUGUGCUAAAUUAAGUGGUAAAUUAUUUGAAGCAUGAAAUAAUCAA
Carassius carassius (crucian carp) is the source of this 601-nucleotide long non-coding RNA. RefSeq lists it as uncharacterized. The record is from RefSeq and is a predicted model, not a curated record. NCBI's taxonomy places the organism in Eukaryota, Metazoa, Chordata, Actinopteri, Cypriniformes, Cyprinidae. The transcript is spliced from 3 exons.